UGCAUAUCAAAAAAGCGGAGGAAAAGAAACCAACCGGGAUUGCCUUAGUAACGGCGAGUGAAGCGGCAAAAGCUCAAAUUUGAAAUCUGGUACCUUCGGUGCCCGAGUUGUAAUUUGGAGAGGGCAACUUUGGGGCCGUUCCUUGUCUAUGUUCCUUGGAACAGGACGUCAUAGAGGGUGAGAAUCCCGUGUGGCGAGGAGUGCGGUUCUUUGUAAAGUGCCUUCGAAGAGUCGAGUUGUUUGGGAAUGCAGCUCUAAGUGGGUGGUAAAUUCCAUCUAAAGCUAAAUAUUGGCGAGAGACCGAUAGCGAACAAGUACAGUGAUGGAAAGAUGAAAAGAACUUUGAAAAGAGAGUGAAAAAGUACGUGAAAUUGUUGAAAGGGAAGGGCAUUUGAUCAGACAUGGUGUUUUGUGCCCUCUGCUCCUUGUGGGUAGGGGAAUCUCGCAUUUCACUGGGCCAGCAUCAGUUUUGGUGGCAGGAUAAAUCCAUAGGAAUGUAGCUUGCCUCGGUAAGUAUUAUAGCCUGUGGGAAUACUGCCAGCUGGGACUGAGGACUGCGACGUAAGUCAAGGAUGCUGGCAUAAUGGUUAUAUGCCGCCCGUCUU
This 605-nucleotide ribosomal RNA is filed under the name Saccharomyces cerevisiae (brewer's yeast). RNAcentral's name for it is "partial large subunit ribosomal RNA". It matches the Rfam family "Eukaryotic large subunit ribosomal RNA", at positions 37 to 655 of the family's 3401-position model. The record is from RNAcentral. Lineage: Eukaryota; Fungi; Ascomycota; Saccharomycetes; Saccharomycetales; Saccharomycetaceae.